UACUCUCACACACCCCUCGGGGGGCCGAGAAGCUACAGUUUGUGUUUCUAACACCCCUCACAGGUUUCUUGAGCCUAGCUUUCACACCACGUGGUGGGAGGAUCGCGGCAAGGCUGGCAAUCACCAGAAUCCAGAGGCACUGGUGAUUCACAGGUCUUCUGAGUUCUUGAAUCAUCUUCAAAUUGUUCUGAGGAGUUCUCCUGCUGCUCUAAAGCCCUCCCAGAUACGCUGCGGGGUGAAGGUGGAAGCAAGACAGGGAAGCACCACUGUUGAAAUACUCUCGAUUUUCUCCGUGAAUUUAUAGGAGUUUUAUCUGGUCUGGAGCUGGGGGAAGGAGGAAAAACUAGCUCUGGCUGACAACCAGUCACUUCCUAAAUUAUUCUGUCUUAAGCCUUGGCGGGAGGAAACAAGUGAAAUGUUUAAUUAUAAGGAUUCAUUGAUUCAUUUGGAUCCUUGAGAACAUUUUAUAAAAAAAACCACUGCUGGUCACUUGAAUUGUAUCAAUUGAGAAAAUUACUUACAAAAAAUAAUUAAUGAACGAGACAAUAGAUACAUCAUUAAUCAGGGCGUAUCAGAAUUUCUGUUUCCUGAGUCUAAGACAAGUUUGUGUGAAGUUUCCUCAUUCAGCCCCAAGGAAACCAACAAGAUCUGGAAACCAUGUGUCAGCAUUCUUCCGCAUGUUGCAUUUUCGGUCAUGCAGAAGGACUGAAUUCUGUGUCUUGAUCAACCGAAGUGCAAAGACAUAAACAGCCGUGGGAGAUGAGACGCAAGUCAGAAUCGCAAAGGAGCAGGAACCAUGAGCCAGGCGUGACACAGAAACCUAAGUCCUCACAGGCACAGAAAUCCUGUCGGAAGAUUUGAUAAAGGAGGCAGCACGAGCAGCUGAAUUCCACACAUCUGAUUUUGCUGUUUUUGAGACAGGGAGCACGGGAACAAGCCCCAGGUGAAAAACAUUAUGCACCGGGGCGCGUUCCAUUGGAUGUUAUUGUUACACCGCUACGCCUACAAAGCAGAACCAGAACGUGGCCCCAGAUACAAAACGGACUUAGAACGGAGGACUCCGGGUCCAAAAAGCACUAUUGAGCUGCCUGAAUUACCUGCCAAUAUAGACCAAUCAGGACGCAGCACUUCCCCCAUCUUUUCCUCAUUAACAUAAUAGAAGGGAGUGGGAAGGGGAGUGGGAGAUUUCUCCACACAGGUGGGACCUCCCCUUUGUAACUACUUUGCUGGUGCUGCGUGGGCCUUCAGCUGGAGCUCUAGUCCCGAUAAGGCCUUGCCUGUACCUUUGAUUUUUGGCACUGGUUUCAUCCUCGUGGGGCCCAACAACCCAACUCAGGUAACGUUUCCUGUAUCAUUUAGUUCAAUUUAAUGUCUAACCUCUAUUGUGAUUUCUUGUUUGACCCAUAUAGGUUGUGCAGAAGUGACUUGCUUAAUUUACA
Molecule: long non-coding RNA, 1439 nt
Organism: Ailuropoda melanoleuca (giant panda)
Lineage: Eukaryota; Metazoa; Chordata; Mammalia; Carnivora; Ursidae
Exons: 5
Source: RefSeq, a predicted model, not a curated record